GGAAGGUCAAGGUCAUUUGGAGGGCCGGGCGGAAGAGGAACAGAUGACGAAGGAACUGGUGCAGGAGACGUAUCAUUUGUCUCUCGCCUACGCGAGUAAACUUGAACAAUUUGUGGUCUUGCCAACACAAUUGAAGUAGGUGUUGAAGGCACAAUAGUCGAUUGGUGCUCGAUAGAAGAGCUAGAAAAUGAAGGAAAAUCAUCUGCUUGUUCUGUCAAAGUACAGGUUACCUGAUAUA
RNAcentral lists this long non-coding RNA (238 nucleotides) under Nicotiana benthamiana. RNAcentral's name for it is "long non-coding RNA (NBEN_LNC017999)". Lineage: Eukaryota; Viridiplantae; Streptophyta; Magnoliopsida; Solanales; Solanaceae. The record is from RNAcentral.